CCGUAGCCCGACGUGGACCCUUCCUCGCCGUAACGGAAAGCGGAAGGCUCGUACAUCAGCGGUCAACGGAGUGCUGGAACGCCGCUUCAUGAAUGGACGCUCGCCUCCUGGAAGUCAUUGUGCAUGCGAUUAGCUGAAUUCCCGCGGAAAGGUCAACCGAACCGUGAGACCGACCGCAACGUUGCUUCGUGGAAUUAAGUGAAACCACGACACGCCAGCCUGCUACUCGCUUGCUGACUCCAAAGCCGAGAGGCUGCCAACAUGGUGCAUACCACAGUCGCGGUCUGUCACUGCUGCCUAUUAGGUCACCAGGGGUCAGCGGCCAGCCAUCCUCCACUUCUGGUCAUCGUUGAUGAUCUGCAAACUGGUGUCUUCGCACCGUCCAGGCAAGCCGCUUCUGCACAACUUUCUGGCCGACUCAUCAGCAUCUGCUGCAGCUUUCGUCCAUUCACGGUGGGUGAGUAGGGCCUAGUCUUCACGACAACCGGCAUCCUGGACUGUAGUCGGCAGUCUCCACCUGAGCUUACGACGAGCUGUCUACGAGAGCGCUGGGUGGGCAGGACCAACGCAAGCAACGGCAUGGAGCCGUGGCACUGACCUACGGCGACGACGUCACGACAAGCUGACG
Molecule: long non-coding RNA, 628 nt
Organism: Schistocerca serialis cubense
Lineage: Eukaryota; Metazoa; Arthropoda; Insecta; Orthoptera; Acrididae
Exons: 3
Source: RefSeq, a predicted model, not a curated record